RNAcentral lists this unclassified non-coding RNA (1846 nucleotides) under Lucilia cuprina (Australian sheep blowfly). RNAcentral describes it as "serine/threonine-protein kinase DDB_G0283821, transcript variant X2". The record is from RNAcentral. Lineage: Eukaryota; Metazoa; Arthropoda; Insecta; Diptera; Calliphoridae.
UAUUUAUCUUGUGAAUCUCUUACAGAGUGGAGCUAAAAGCUGAAAGCAAAGAAAAAAAAAACAAAACUAAAGAAAUAAAACACGAAUGAACUUUUUUUCCUCUGUGCCGUUAAAUACGUAAAAAAUAAAAGAAAAACAUAUUUAAUAAUAAUAUAACAAGUAAAAUAAAAACAAAACUAACUAACGGCUUUAAAAGUGAAGAGUAAGAAGAGACAAAUAAAAUAAAAAAACAAAAAAAGUGUGUGAUUUAUAAAAUUUAACACAAACUUAUAAACAAGUGACCAGAUUUAAAGUGCAGUGCAUUUAUUUAAAGAAACCGAAAAAAAAGGAAUUUAAUUAAUCAUUAAACUUAUUAAUAUAUUGAAUAUUUUUUAAAACAAAAAAAAUCGUGUUGCACGCAAAAUAAGACAAUAAAUAGAAAAUAAUUAGGAAAAGCUAGUGAAAGUUAAUUUUUUUCUCUAUUUUUUAAAGAAAAAUACACGCACGUGAAAAUUUUAGAAAAAAAAUCUUUUGUUAAAAAAUUUUUUUGAAUAACGAGCAACAAUUUCGAAAAAGUCUCACAACGGCAGCCAAAACUAUAAAUAUGAAUCGUUCAAAUAGUUUUGUCUCCGCUUUAAAAUGGUGGCCUUUACAGGGUCAUUUAAAUCAAACACAUAAUAAUGGCAAUACAGGUGAUGGUGGCGGCGGCGGCGGUGGUGGCACCGUUAAUGUGGGCCACCAUCAAAACCCUUCACACAACUCUAGCAGUGGUGGUGGUCUGGGUUUUCGCGGUCUUAUACCAUUCAAUAGGACAUCGACAGCUCAAACAUUCGGCAGUUCGGUGGCUGUACAAAAAUUACGUGAAUCCAAAUGGUUUAAACCUGAUGAACAACGUAUCUUUUGUGCUGUAGUCGAGUGCGGUUUCAUUGUUGAAGUACGCAGUAGUGCAGCUGUGGCCAGGAAAUUAGCACAACAACAGCAGCGUAGACGUCAACGCCUGUUGUCUCUAACGAAUAAGACACGACAACAAAAUAACAGCGGAAGCAGCAGUAGCAGUUCGAACGACAGUUAUGAACACGAAGACGUUGAGGAAUUUUGCAAACAUCAUCAAACAAGUGUUCAAAUGUUAUUGUCUUCGAAUGGUUCAUAUCGUAAUAAUCACAAUCAUAAUCAUCAUCAUGAUGUUGUUGACGACAAUUAUGAUGUUGAUGAUGACGAUGACGAUGAUUUGGAUUCACAAGAUGAAAAUAAUACCCCAAUUACCACCUGGUUUGGUGUGGUGCUGUGUAAAACUAAUAAAGAUAAUAAACCAAAACCCGAAACAAUUGAAAUAUUUUCUGUGAAAAUACGUGAGAAUGGCACCUUUAAAAUGAUAAAAAUGUCACUGGAUGACAUUUGGAAUAAUGAUUGGGAAUUGCGUAUUAAUAAUUUUGCUGAUAAAGAAAAACCGCCACACAAUGAGAAGGAUAUAAGAAAUCAGCCUUCUCUCCCUCUCUCUCACACUCACAUUCUUCUUUCAACAACAACAAGGAAACUAAAGAAACUCUUGCAACACAACAGGAUAAAUAUUGAAUAUUAAUAAAAUUAAAUAUUUAACCUUAAACCAUUCUAAUAAUGAACCUUUUUACUAGGAUCACUAAUUAGAAGAGGAGCCUAAACACUAAAUGAAAGCGAUAAACAAGGCAUAACGUUUUCUAAAAAAUAAAAUGCAAUGCAAUUAAGCGCUUUAAUAUGGGUGUAGGCUAAAAAGAUACUUUUUUUUAUAUCCUUUGCACGCAAAGCCAAACAAAGCUUGUGGAAUAAUAAUAAGCACUUUGUGUAUUGGUGUCGCUACGGUAGUCGUCAACAGGAUGUCAGAAAACGUCAG